This 73-nucleotide transfer RNA is filed under the name Candidatus Berkiella aquae. Its description in RNAcentral is "Legionella-like amoebal pathogen HT99 tRNA". It matches the Rfam family "tRNA". From Rfam's summary of the family: Transfer RNA (tRNA) molecules are approximately 80 nucleotides in length. Lineage: Bacteria; Pseudomonadati; Pseudomonadota; Gammaproteobacteria; Candidatus Berkiellales; Candidatus Berkiellaceae. The record is from Rfam by way of RNAcentral.
UCCCCGAUAGCUCAGUCGGUAGAGCAAAUGACUGUUAAUCAUUGGGUCGCAGGUUCGAGUCCUGCUCGGGGAG